CAUGCAGUCGAACGGAACGAAACUAGCUUGCUAGUAGGCGUCGAGUGGCGGACGGGUGAGUAACGCGUAGGAAUCUGCCUGAUAGUGGGGGAUAGCCCGAAGAAAUUCGGAUUAAUACCGCAUAAUCUAUUCGUAGUAAAGUGGGGGACUUUCGAGCCUCACGCUAUCAGAUGAGCCUGCGUAAGAUUAGCUUGUUGGUAGGGUAAAAGCCUACUAAGGCAACGAUCUUUAGCUGGUCUGAGAGGAUGAUCAGCCACAUCGGGACUGAGACACGGCCCGAACUCCUACGGGAGGCAGCAGUGGGGAAUAUUGGACAAUGGGGGCAACCCUGAUCCAGCAAUACCGCGUGAGUGAAGAAGGCCUUUGGGUUGUAAAGCUCUUUCGUCGGGGAAGAAAAUGACUGUACCCGAAUAAGAAGGUCCGGCUAACUUCGUGCCAGCAGCCGCGGUAAUACGAAGGGACCUAGCGUAGUUCGGAAUUACUGGGCUUAAAGAGCACGUAGGUGGUUAGAGAAGUUGGUGGUGAAAUCCCAAGGCUUAACCUUGGAACUGCCAUCAAAACUUUUUAACUAGAGUGUGAUAGAGGUAAGUGGAAUUUCUAGUGUAGAGGUGAAAUUCGUAGAUAUUA
This 627-nucleotide ribosomal RNA is filed under the name uncultured Candidatus Pelagibacter sp. RNAcentral describes it as "bacterial SSU rRNA". It matches the Rfam family "Bacterial small subunit ribosomal RNA", at positions 54 to 699 of the family's 1533-position model. Lineage: Bacteria; Pseudomonadati; Pseudomonadota; Alphaproteobacteria; Candidatus Pelagibacterales; Candidatus Pelagibacteraceae. The record is from RNAcentral.